Molecule: ribosomal RNA, 245 nt
Filed under: uncultured bacterium
Lineage: Bacteria
Description: partial 16S ribosomal RNA
Rfam family: Bacterial small subunit ribosomal RNA
Source: RNAcentral
UACGAACCGUCCUAACGUUAUUCGGAAUUACUGGGCUUAAAGGGUGCGUAGGCGGCUCGGAAAGUUGGGUGUGAAAUCCCUCGGCUCAACCGAGGAAUUGCGCCCAAAACUACCGGGCUCGAGGGAGACAGAGGUGAGCGGAACUUAGGGUGGAGCGGUGAAAUGCGUUGAUAUCCUAAGGAACACCGGUGGCGAAAGCGGCUCACUGGGUCUUUUCUGACGCUGAGGCGCGAAAGCCAGGGGAG